This 1118-nucleotide long non-coding RNA is filed under the name Ursus maritimus (polar bear). RNAcentral's name for it is "lncRNA (ENSUMAG00000003861.1)". Lineage: Eukaryota; Metazoa; Chordata; Mammalia; Carnivora; Ursidae. The record is from RNAcentral.
CUUCCAAAAAGUCACAGGGCCAGGAAGACAAGAGAACCUUGGCUUUCGAAACCCACACUUGUUGGGGUGGCUGUGAAACCCCACUGUGCAUGGGCAGGACCAGCUCUGGGAGUCCCCACUCUGGUGACCUGCUCUCCACACUUGCUGGCUGGAGCAGCUCUGGGCAAUGCUGAGGCAAUGAGCUGACCAGGAUUUGUUCUUCCAAAGACAGAAAACCCCGGGAAAGCAGAUGGCAGAUUCGAGAGCCACAGAGAGGUGAGCCCUUGGGCAGCACCACCACCCCAGGACAACCUGGGCAGAGCUCCAUCUCCAUCCCCUUCCAUUUCCAGCACCCUCGGCAUGGACGGCCUUUAUCCAUCUUCCACGGGCUUGUGCUCAGUGUGGGAGAGACGCUAUUCAUUCUACAGAUAAUGGCACAAAGGCAGGGAUGUGGACAGACCGGAAUGAACUCGAAGAAUGAGGGCGUUGGUGCUGCGGCCCCACAGAGCUCUGCUCCAACAGUGCUACCUUCUUCCACGAGGGAGAACAAAAUAACAUUCAUGGUGGAAUGUCCCCGUGCUUCCACAAAUGGUCCCCUUGCCCUCGGAGGGUGUCGUCUCGGGGACGCGGCUGCCGCCCUCUCCAGCUGAAGCUCUGGAUUCUGCCCAGAUUUGACGUCGGCCCCACAACCCUCUGCUUUGAGCUUCAAGACUUGGGACAAGUGUCUUUGGCUUUCUUGUCCAUGAACUAUGAAGAGUGAGCCUUCCCCUGGCGAGAGAGGAGAGAGGAGGAUAAUGAUGCCCAGACAGCAGCCGGCGCCCACUGGCCCCAGGAAAGGCCCAUCUCCCCGAGGCCGCCCUCGGGUGGUCACGAGCCACUCCGCCCAACAGGCUGGGUCCUGUUAGAGCAGGUUAAAAAAAAUGAAAGUAACUCCAGCAGGAAGAGACUGGGUGAAAACUAGGCAGCCUGAAGCUGAUCACUGACCUCCUGCUUCGUGAAGUCGAUACGGACUCUCUGUUUCCUCUUUGUGCCUUCACCUAAUAGGAAAGUCCCUGCAGGUGUGAGCUGGGACUUACAAAGGAGGUCGGGAGAUAGCAGCCCUGGAAAAAUAAUUCCACCUAUAAACACCUGUGUUAACA